This 253-nucleotide ribosomal RNA is filed under the name uncultured bacterium. RNAcentral's name for it is "partial 16S ribosomal RNA". It matches the Rfam family "Bacterial small subunit ribosomal RNA", at positions 524 to 776 of the family's 1533-position model. The record is from RNAcentral.
UACGUAGGGGGCAAGCGUUGUCCGGAUUUAUUGGGCGUAAAGAGCGUGUAGGCGGCCUUACAGGUCAGCUGUGAAAACUCGAGGCUCAACCUCGAGACGCCGGUGGAAACCAUCAGGCUAGAGUCCGGAAGAGGAGAGUGGAAUUCCUGGUGUAGCGGUGAAAUGCGCAGAUAUCAGGAAGAACACCCGUGGCUAAGGCGGCUCUCUAGUACGGUACUGACGCUGAGACGCGAAAGCGUGGGGAGCGAACAGG